UGUAGGCCGCGUGUGAGAGGGAUGG
RNAcentral lists this non-coding RNA (25 nucleotides) under Mus musculus (house mouse). The record is from RNAcentral. Lineage: Eukaryota; Metazoa; Chordata; Mammalia; Rodentia; Muridae.